GGCGAACGCUGGCGGCGUGCUUAACACAUGCAAGUCGAACGGAAAGGCCCUGCUUUUGUGGGGUGCUCGAGUGGCGAACGGGUGAGUAACACGUGAGUAACCUGCCCUUGACUUUGGGAUAACUUCAGGAAACUGGGGCUAAUACCGGAUAGGAGCUCCUGCUGCAUGGUGGGGGUUGGAAAGUUUCGGCGGUUGGGGAUGGACUCGCGGCUUAUCAGCUUGUUGGUGGGGUAGUGGCUUACCAAGGCUUUGACGGGUAGCCGGCCUGAGAGGGUGACCGGCCACAUUGGGACUGAGAUACGGCCCAGACUCCUACGGGAGGCAGCAGUGGGGAAUAUUGCACAAUGGGCGGAAGCCUGAUGCAGCAACGCCGCGUGCGGGAUGACGGCCUUCGGGCUGUAAACCGCUUUCGCCUGUGACGAAGCGUGAGUGACGGUAAUGGGUAAAGAAGCACCGGCUAACUACGUG
Molecule: ribosomal RNA, 468 nt
Filed under: uncultured bacterium
Lineage: Bacteria
Description: partial 16S ribosomal RNA
Rfam family: Bacterial small subunit ribosomal RNA
Source: RNAcentral